GCCUGGGUGGCUCAGUCGGUUGAGCGUCCGACUUCAGCCCGGGUCACGAUCUCACGGUUCGUGAGUUCGAGCCCCGCAUCAGGCU
This 85-nucleotide transfer RNA is filed under the name Felis catus (domestic cat). It matches the Rfam family "tRNA". From Rfam's summary of the family: Transfer RNA (tRNA) molecules are approximately 80 nucleotides in length. Their secondary structure includes four short double-helical elements and three loops (D, anti-codon, and T loops). Lineage: Eukaryota; Metazoa; Chordata; Mammalia; Carnivora; Felidae. The record is from Rfam by way of RNAcentral.